Molecule: ribosomal RNA, 901 nt
Filed under: Enterobacter cloacae
Lineage: Bacteria; Pseudomonadati; Pseudomonadota; Gammaproteobacteria; Enterobacterales; Enterobacteriaceae
Description: bacterial SSU rRNA
Rfam family: Bacterial small subunit ribosomal RNA
Source: RNAcentral
GUGGUGGACGGGUGAGUAAUGUCUGGGAAACUGCCUGAUGGAGGGGGAUAACUACUGGAAACGGUAGCUAAUACCGCAUAACGUCGCAAGACCAAAGAGGGGGACCUUCGGGCCUCUUGCCAUCGGAUGUGCCCAGAUGGGAUUAGCUAGUAGGUGGGGUAACGGCUCACCUAGGCGACGAUCCCUAGCUGGUCUGAGAGGAUGACCAGCCACACUGGAACUGAGACACGGUCCAGACUCCUACGGGAGGCAGCAGUGGGGAAUAUUGCACAAUGGGCGCAAGCCUGAUGCAGCCAUGCCGCGUGUAUGAAGAAGGCCUUCGGGUUGUAAAGUACUUUCAGCGGGGAGGAAGGCGAUAAGGUUAAUAACCUUGUCGAUUGACGUUACCCGCAGAAGAAGCACCGGCUAACUCCGUGCCAGCAGCCGCGGUAAUACGGAGGGUGCAAGCGUUAAUCGGAAUUACUGGGCGUAGAGCGCACGCAGGCGGUCUGUCAAGUCGGAUGUGAAAUCCCCGGGCUCAACCUGGGAACUGCAUUCGAAACUGGCAGGCUAGAGUCUUGUAGAGGGGGGUAGAAUUCCAGGUGUAGCGGUGAAAUGCGUAGAGAUCUGGAGGAAUACCGGUGGCGAAGGCGGCCCCCUGGACAAAGACUGACGCUCAGGUGCGAAAGCGUGCGGAGCAAACAGGAUUAGAUACCCUGGUAGUCCACGCCGUAAACGAUGUCGACUUGCAUGUUUACCCCUGAGGCGUGGCUUCCGGAGCUAACGCGUUAGUCGACCGCCUGGGAGACGGCGCAGGUAAAACUCAAAUGAAUUGACGGGGGCCGCACAGGCGGUGGAGCAUGUGGUUUAUUCGAUGCAACGCGAAGACCUUACUUACUCUGACAUCAGAGACUUUCAGAGA